GGAUGUAGUUCAAUUGGUAGAGCAGCGGUCUCCAAAACCGCGUGUUGGGGGUUCGAGUCCCUCCGUCCC
Molecule: transfer RNA, 69 nt
Filed under: bovine gut metagenome
Rfam family: tRNA
About the family: Transfer RNA (tRNA) molecules are approximately 80 nucleotides in length. Their secondary structure includes four short double-helical elements and three loops (D, anti-codon, and T loops). Further hydrogen bonds mediate the characteristic L-shaped molecular structure. tRNAs have two regions of fundamental functional importance: the anti-codon, which is responsible for specific mRNA codon recognition, and the 3' end, to which the tRNAs corresponding amino acid is attached (by aminoacyl-tRNA synthetases). tRNAs cope with the degeneracy of the genetic code in two manners: having more than one tRNA (with a specific anti-codon) for a particular amino acid; and 'wobble' base-pairing, i.e. permitting non-standard base-pairing at the 3rd anti-codon position.
Source: RNAcentral